RNAcentral lists this ribosomal RNA (441 nucleotides) under uncultured bacterium. Its description in RNAcentral is "partial 16S ribosomal RNA". It matches the Rfam family "Bacterial small subunit ribosomal RNA", at positions 338 to 795 of the family's 1533-position model. The record is from RNAcentral.
CCUACGGGUGGCAGCAGUGGGGAAUAUUGCACAAUGGGGGAAACUCUGAUGCAGCAACGCCGCGUGAGUGAAGAAGGAUUUCGGUAUGUAAAGCUCUAUCAGCAGAGAAGAAGAAAGACGGUACUUGCCUUUGACGCCUCGACUAACUAUGUGCCAGCAGCCGCGGUUAUACGCAGGGCGCAAGCGUUAUCCGGAUGUAAUGGGCGUAAAGGGAGCGUAGACGGCUGUGUAAGUCUGAAGUGAAAGCCCGUGGCUCAACCGCGGAAGAGCUUUGGAAACUGUAGAGCUUGAGUACUGGAGAGGCAGGCGGAAUUCCUAGUGUAGCGGUGAAAUGCGUAGAUAUUAGGAGGAACACCAGUGGCGAAGGCGGCCUGCUGGACAGUAACUGACGUUGAGGCUCGAAAGCGUGGGUAGCAAACAGGAUUAGAUACCCGGGUAGUC